AGAGUUUGAUCCUGGCUCAGGAUGAACGCUGGCGGCGUGCUUAACACAUGCAAGUCGAACGAACCUUCGGGUUAGUGGCGGACGGGUGAGUAACGCGUGAGAAUCUGCCCUCAGGAGGGGGAUAACAGCUGGAAACGGCUGCUAAUACCCCAUAUGCCGCGAGGUGAAAUGAAUUUCGCCUGAGGAUGAGCUCGCGUCUGAUUAGCUAGUUGGUGUAGGUAAUGGCUCACCAAGGCAUCGAUCAGUAGCUGGUCUGAGAGGAUGAUCAGCCACACUGGGACUGAGACACGGCCCAGACUCCUACGGGAGGCAGCAGUGGGGAAUUUUCCGCAAUGGGCGAAAGCCUGACGGAGCAACGCCGCGUGAGGGAUGAAGGCCUCUGGGCUGUAAACCUCUUUUAUCAAGGAAGAAGAUCUGACGGUACUUGAUGAAUAAGCCACGGCUAAUUCCGUGCCAGCAGCCGCGGUAAUACGGGAGUGGCAAGCGUUAUCCGGAAUUAUUGGGCGUAAAGCGUCCGCAGGCGGCCCUUCAAGUCUGCUGUUAAAAAGUGGAGCUUAACUCCAUCAUGGCAGUGGAAACUGAGGGGCUUGAGUGUGGUAGGGGCAGAGGGAAUUCCCGGUGUAGCGGUGAAAUGCGUAGAUAUCGGGAAGAACACCAGUGGCGAAGGCGCUCUGCUGGGCCAUCACUGACGCUCAUGGACGAAAGCCAGGGGAGCGAAAGGGAUUAGAUACCCCUGUAGUCCUGGCCGUAAACGAUGAACACUAGGUGUCGGGGGAAUCGACCCCCUCGGUGUCGUAGCCAACGCGUUAAGUGUUCCGCCUGGGGAGUACGCACGCAAGUGUGAAACUCAAAGGAAUUGACGGGGGCCCGCACAAGCGGUGGAGUAUGUGGUUUAAUUCGAUGCAACGCGAAGAACCUUACCAGGGUUUGACAUCCUGCGAAUCUUUUGGAAACGAGAGAGUGCCUUCGGGAGCGCAGUGACAGGUGGUGCAUGGCUGUCGUCAGCUCGUGUCGUGAGAUGUUGGGUUAAGUCCCGCAACGAGCGCAACCCACGUCUUUAGUUGCCAGCAUUUAGUUGGGCACUCUAGAGAGACCGCCGGUGAUAAACCGGAGGAAGGUGUGGAUGACGUCAAGUCAUCAUGCCCCUUACAUCCUGGGCUACACACGUACUACAAUGCUACGGACAAAGGGCAGCAAGUUCGCGAGGACAAGCAAAUCCCAUAAACCGUGGCUCAGUUCAGAUCGUAGGCUGCAACUCGCCUACGUGAAGGAGGAAUCGCUAGUAAUCGCAGGUCAGCAUACUGCGGUGAAUACGUUCCCGGGCCUUGUACACACCGCCCGUCACACCAUGGAAGUUGGCCACGCCCGAAGCCGUUACUCCAACCCUUGUGGAGGAGGACGUCGAAGGUGGGGCUGAUGACUGGGGUGAAGUCGUAACAAGGUAACC
This 1447-nucleotide ribosomal RNA is filed under the name uncultured bacterium. RNAcentral's name for it is "bacterial SSU rRNA". It matches the Rfam family "Bacterial small subunit ribosomal RNA". The record is from RNAcentral.